RNAcentral lists this ribosomal RNA (468 nucleotides) under uncultured bacterium. RNAcentral's name for it is "partial 16S ribosomal RNA". It matches the Rfam family "Bacterial small subunit ribosomal RNA", at positions 28 to 507 of the family's 1533-position model. The record is from RNAcentral.
GACGAACGCUGGCGGCGUGCUUAACCCAUGCAAGUCGAACGGAAAGGCCCUGCUUUUGUGGGGUGCUCGAGUGGCGAACGGGUGAGUAACGCGUGAGUAACCUGCCCUUGACUUUGGGAUAACUUCAGGAAACUGGGGCUAAUACCGGAUAGGAGCUCCUGCUGCAUGGUGGGGGUUGGAAAGUUUCGGCGGUUGGGGAUGGACUCGCGGCUUAUCAGCUUGUUGGUGGGGUAGUGGCUUACCAAGGCUUUGACGGGUAGCCGGCCUGAGAGGGUGACCGGCCACAUUGGGACUGAGAUACGGCCCAGACUCCUACGGGAGGCAGCAGUGGGGAAUAUUGCACAAUGGGCGGAAGCCUGAUGCAGCAACGCCGCGUGCGGGAUGACGGCCUUCGGGUUGUAAACCGCUUUCGCCUGUGACGAAGCGUGAGUGACGGUAAUGGGUAAAGAAGCACCGGCUAACUACGUG